Molecule: non-coding RNA, 464 nt
Organism: Zootermopsis nevadensis
Lineage: Eukaryota; Metazoa; Arthropoda; Insecta; Blattodea; Termopsidae
Source: RefSeq, a predicted model, not a curated record
AUGGCUGGGAUUGUUGGAUGCGCGAGUGGCAGUAAAGAUGAGUCAAGUUGGUUACCGUGUAGCAUACUGAAAGUUGCGAUGCAUGGAGUUAUGCUUUGUGUUUGAGUUGUGUCGAAUCCUAUUUCGUCACAGUGUAUGCUGAAGGAUCCGCGUAAGGAGUGAUGCCGUCUCUUACGCUCUUCGGCCGCAAAUGGUUGGUGGCGUCGGACGACUUAGUGUUCCCCGGGAUCUUCGAGUUUGUCUUCAGGUUUAUAUGGCUGAUUCUGCUCUCUUUGGCGUGUGCCCGCUACUUCCCACACACGUGGUUUUGUUCUGAAGGGGGCGUCUUUGUGCGUGUGUACAUGAUAGGCGUGUUGACUAUCCUCGCUUGCAAUAUUGUCCUUUUGGUUCCACUGGUGAACAGGAGCGCCCAGGGUGCCAUCUUAGACACAGCAGCAAGGCGUGUGGUUGCCCCAAUUCUAACA